GCUCGAGUGGCGAACGGGUGAGUAACACGUGAGUAACCUGCCCUAGACUUUGGGAUAACUUCAGGAAACUGGGGCUAAUACCGGAUAGGAGCUCCUGCUGCAUGGUGGGGGUUGGAAAGUUUCGGCGGUUGGGGAUGGACUCGCGGCUUAUCAGCUUGUUGGUGGGGUAGUGGCUUACCAAGGCUUUGACGGGUAGCCGGCCUGAGAGGGUGACCGGCCACAUUGGGACUGAGAUACGGCCCAG
Molecule: ribosomal RNA, 244 nt
Filed under: uncultured Actinomycetales bacterium
Lineage: Bacteria; Bacillati; Actinomycetota; Actinomycetes; Actinomycetales
Description: partial 16S ribosomal RNA
Rfam family: Bacterial small subunit ribosomal RNA
Source: RNAcentral